RNAcentral lists this ribosomal RNA (459 nucleotides) under uncultured bacterium. RNAcentral describes it as "partial 16S ribosomal RNA". It matches the Rfam family "Bacterial small subunit ribosomal RNA", at positions 338 to 795 of the family's 1533-position model. The record is from RNAcentral.
CCUACGGGUGGCUGCAGUGAGGAAUAUUGGUCAAUGGGAGGAAUCCUGAACCAGCCAUGCCGCGUGCAGGACGACGGCUCUACGAGUUGUAAACUGCUUUUGUACCGGGGUAAAAUGCUCUACGAGUAGGGUUUUGAAAGUACGGUACGAAUAAGGAUCGGCUAACUCCGUGCCAGCAGCCGCGGUAAUACGGAGGAUCCGAGCGUUAUCCGGAUUCAUUGGGUUUAAAGGGUGCGUAGGCGGACAGUCAAGUCAGCGGUAAAAAUGCGGUGCUCAACGCCGUACAGCCGUUGAAACUGGCAGUCUUGAGUGGGCGAGAAGUAUGCGGAAUGCGUGGUGUAGCGGUGAAAUGCAUAGAUAUCACGCAGAACUCCGAUUGCGAAGGCAGCAUACCGGCGCCCGACUGACGCUGAGGCACGAAAGCGUGGGUAUCGAACAGGAUUAGAUACCCUUGUAGUC